This is a long non-coding RNA of Labeo rohita (rohu), 624 nucleotides long. RefSeq lists it as uncharacterized. The transcript is spliced from 3 exons. The record is from RefSeq and is a predicted model, not a curated record. NCBI's taxonomy places the organism in Eukaryota, Metazoa, Chordata, Actinopteri, Cypriniformes, Cyprinidae.
UUUCUACAUCCGUGGAUCGUUCUUCAGCGGUGGUGUCCAAAACUCUGCAGAACAUGAUCAUCAGGAACAGAAGACGGGUUGGAUUCCAUCAGUCAGACCUUGCACAAAUCUACAAAUUCUAGGCCCUCAUAUUACCCAUAAGUCUGAGCAAACACACCUUUGCUGCCGUUCUGAUGAUGACCAUGCUCGGCCACACAGGGAUCCGAGAAGCAUGCAGAAGCACGGGCCUUCGAGAGACAGAUCGUCCGGCAACGCGGAGGAUCCGUGGACCCUCGGUACCGGGCCCGUUCUCUCAUGCACUUCUACUUACCAUGGACCCUCUCUUGUAGCGACUAUACCAUGUGCCUGGAUUGUCUUUGGGCCAGCGAGCCAUUUUGCUCUGUAAAAUAGGAGACUAUUUCAGGAGGACAAGAAAGAGGAGUCACUCUUACCAGUUUACCACGUUUGAAUUCACUGAACCACGACCCUGGAUUCUCCUUCACCCAAGAGGUGAGUCUCGCCUGAGAGAGAGAGAGUCAGCUAGAGUCAAUACUGUAGACAGACAGACAGACAGACAGGAAGAAACAGGUAGCCUGUGGGAAUUAUUUUGAUCUGUUUUGCCGUGUAGUUGUCGAUCUGUCCGAG